GACGAACGCUGGCGGCAGGCCUAACACAUGCAAGUCGAACGGUAACAGGAAGAAGCUUGCUUCUUUGCUGACGAGUGGCGGACGGGUGAGUAAUGUCUGGGAAACUGCCUGAUGGAAGGGGAUAACAUUUGGAAACAAGUGCUAAUACCGUAUAACCAUGAUGACCGCAUGGUCAUGAUGUAAAAGGUGGUUUUGCUAUCGCUUUUGGAUGGACCCGCGGCGUAUUAACUAGUUGGUAAGGUAACGGCUUACCAAGGUGAUGAUACGUAGCCGAACUGAGAGGUUGAUCGGCCACAAUGGGACUGAGACACGGCCCAUACUCCUACGGGAGGCAGCAGUAGGGAAUCUUCCACAAUGGGCGCAAGCCUGAUGGAGCAACGCCGCGUGAAUGAAGAAGGUCUUCGGAUCGUAAAGUUCUGUUAUUAGAGAAGAACACGUGUAAGAGUAACUGAUUAUGCGUUGACGGUAUCUAAUCAGCAAGUCACGGCUAACUACGUGCCAGCAGCCGCGGUAAAAC
This 517-nucleotide ribosomal RNA is filed under the name uncultured bacterium. RNAcentral describes it as "bacterial SSU rRNA". It matches the Rfam family "Bacterial small subunit ribosomal RNA", at positions 28 to 526 of the family's 1533-position model. The record is from RNAcentral.